This is a long non-coding RNA of Oncorhynchus tshawytscha (Chinook salmon), 1192 nucleotides long. The record is from Ensembl. Lineage: Eukaryota; Metazoa; Chordata; Actinopteri; Salmoniformes; Salmonidae.
CAAACAUGACUCGAUAAACGUCCGUUUAGAUUAAGUAAUUACAUCGAACGUUAGGUCCAAAGUUGAAGGACACUGUAUUUACAACACAAGCCGUUUACAAAAUGUUUCCUGUUAGGCUAUUAAAAUGGAUUAUAACAAACAAAAGAACACUUUAUUGUUUCGUCGUGACCUUUAGUGUUGCCAAAAGAAGAAGAUCUUCAAAGAUGUGCUACCCUGUCCCGGUCCUGCUGUUUUAACAGAUGUGCUACCCUGUCCUGGUGGUUCGAAUCUCUCAACCUAUUAAUGCUCAGCUGUGAAAAGCCAACUGACAUAUUCUCCUGAGGUGUUGAACUGUUGCAUCCUCUAUAACCACUGUGGUUAUUAUUUUGAUGUAAAAAGGGCUUUUGUAAAAUACGAUUGAUUGAUUGUUUGCUGUCCUGGAUGCUGUGUAUUCACUAACUUUCUGAAUGAUGGAAAUGUUUAUAGUAUCUGUAACAUAUUUUGGUGUGCACUUAAUCUGCAUCUUAACUUAUUCAAGUGACAAUCAGCAGUAGAAACAAUGACAAGGUGUCGCCCUGCUCCUCUUUCGGUAAAAAGCUGAGGGAUGGGCCUGGAUAAAUGUAACCACUCUCAAAUUCAUAGACAGAGAUAUAGAUGCAAGGACUGACCAUCCAUAAUAUCAACAUUGUAAUCCUGUUUCUAUGAUCUGUUUCCGCUACCAUGUACCCAGUUCACUUUGGAUAAAGGUGUCUGCUAAAUGGCAUAUUAUUAAAGUCUACUUUGACUCUGUACCUUAGCCAAAUACAUUUACACUCCGUUUUUCACAAUUCCUGACAUUUAAUCCUUGUAAAAAUGUCCUGUCUUAGGUCAGUUAGGAUCACCACUUUAUUUUAAGAAUAUGAAAUGUCAGAAUAAUAGUAGAGAGAAUCAUUUAUUUCACUUUUAUUUCUUUCAGUGAGUCAGAAUGUAUGUCUUUAUUUUAGUUGGUCAGGGCGUGAGUUGGGGUGGGCAUUCUAUGUUUUGUUCUGUUAUAUUUCUAUGUGUUUGGCCUAGUAUGGUUCUCAAUCAGAGGCAGGUGUCAGUCGUUGUCUCUGAUUGGGAGCCAUAUUUAGGCAGCCUGUUUUCUACUGUGUUUUGUGGGUGGUUGUAUCCUGUGUUAGUGUUUUCACCAUACGGGACUGUUUCGGUUGUUUGUACUUUUGUUAUUUUGUUC